Molecule: ribosomal RNA, 264 nt
Filed under: uncultured bacterium
Lineage: Bacteria
Description: partial 16S ribosomal RNA
Rfam family: Bacterial small subunit ribosomal RNA
Source: RNAcentral
ACUUAGCGGCGGACGGGUGAGUAACGCGUGGGCAACCUGCCUUACACAGGGGGAUAACAAUUAGAAAUGAUUGCUAAUACCGCAUAAGACCCCAGUACCGCAUGGUACAGGGGUAAAAACUGAGGUGGUGUAAGAUGGGCCCGCGUCUGAUUAGGUAGUUGGUGGGGUAGAAGCCUACCAAGCCGACGAUCAGUAGCCGACCUGAGAGGACGACCGGCCACAUUGGGACUGAGACACGGCCCAAACUCCUACGGGAGGCAGCAG